This 392-nucleotide long non-coding RNA is filed under the name Coturnix japonica (Japanese quail). Its description in RNAcentral is "lncRNA (ENSCJPG00005021018.1)". The record is from RNAcentral. Lineage: Eukaryota; Metazoa; Chordata; Aves; Galliformes; Phasianidae.
AGUAAAUAGAGAUGAAAAUAAUACUGAAUGAAGCUCAUUGAUUUGGUGUUUGUGUUUUGUUUUCUAGAGUUUCUAAGGCCCUUUGGAAAUCAAGUAGAAGCCAAACUAAGGCUGUGUUGUUCCUCAAAGUAUAGCAUGGGAUCUCCUAAGGAGAUGAGGGACCACACUGGGAAUCCUGGCAGGAACAAUAAGGGAAAAGCAGUCACUGCCCAGAAUGCUUGCAGCUAUCUGGAUGAAACUGGGAAAGAGGGAAGGAAGAAAAUGGAUUUGCUAAGAAGAAAAGUGAUUUGCCCAAGGUCAUAUUUUAAACUACUGCUGGAUAGAGUUGGGGCAUAUUGUCAUCUUCUUAUUAUACUAAAAUGCAUAUAUGUCUGGAAAAUUGGAACUUAUUU